UCAGUAGGCCGGGUGACCGCCCCGACUUCGUCGGGGAGGAAAGUCCGAGCUCCACCGGGCAGCGUGCUGGGUAACUCCCAGGCGGGGCGACCCGACGGAAAGUGCCACAGAAACACACCGCCCCGAUUCUGUCGGGGCAAGGGUGAAAUGGUGCGGCAAGAGCGCACCAGCGGCCGGGUGACCGGUCGGCUGGGCAAACCCCACGUGGAGCAAGGCCAAAUAGGAGGACACAAGGACGCCCGGCCUGUCCUCGGGUUGGCCGCUGGAGGUGGCGGGCAACCGCCAUCCUAGAUUGAUGGUCACC
RNAcentral lists this RNase P RNA (304 nucleotides) under Chloroflexota bacterium. RNAcentral's name for it is "partial RNase P RNA component class A". It matches the Rfam family "Bacterial RNase P class A", at positions 1 to 320 of the family's 367-position model. Rfam says of the family: Ribonuclease P (RNase P) is a ubiquitous endoribonuclease, found in archaea, bacteria and eukarya as well as chloroplasts and mitochondria. Its best characterised activity is the generation of mature 5'-ends of tRNAs by cleaving the 5'-leader elements of precursor-tRNAs. Lineage: Bacteria; Bacillati; Chloroflexota. The record is from RNAcentral.